Molecule: ribosomal RNA, 253 nt
Filed under: uncultured bacterium
Lineage: Bacteria
Description: partial 16S ribosomal RNA
Rfam family: Bacterial small subunit ribosomal RNA
Source: RNAcentral
GACAGAGGGUGCAACCGUUGUUCGGAAUUACUGGGCGUAAAGCGAGUGUAGGCGGUCUGCUAAGUCGGGUGUGAAAGCCCUGGGCUCAACCCAGGAAGUGCACUCGAAACUGGCAGGCUAGAGUACUGGAGAGGUUGGUGGAAUUCUCGGUGUAGAGGUGAAAUUCGUAGAUAUCGAGAGGAACACCGGUGGCGAAGGCGGCCAACUGGACAGAUACUGACGCUGAGACGCGAAAGCGUGGGGAGCGAACAGG